GUUGAACGCUGGCGGAAUGCUUUACACAUGCAAGUCGAGCGGCAGCGCGGGGCAACCUGGCGGCGAGCGGCGAACGGGUGAGUAAUGCAUCGGAACAUGUCCAUGGAUGGGGGAUAGCCCGGCGAAAGCCGGAUUAAUACCGCAUGAGCCCGAGAGGGGAAAGUGGGGGACCGCAAGGCCUCACGUCGAUGGGUUGGCCGAUGCCCGAUUGGCUAGUUGGUGAGGUAAUGGCUCACCAAGGCGAUGAUCGGUAGCUGGUCUGAGAGGAUGAUCAGCCACACUGGGACUGAGACACGGCCCAGACUCCUACGGGAGGCAGCAGUGGGGAAUUUUGGACAAUGGGGGCAACCCUGAUCCAGCCAUUCCGCGUGAGUGAAGAAGGCCUUCGGGUUGUAAAGCUCUUUUGUCCGGAGCGAAACGGGGCGCGUGAAUAUCGCGCUCUACUGACGGUACCGGAAGAAUAAGCACCGGCUAACUACGUGCCAGCCGCCGCAGUAA
Molecule: ribosomal RNA, 498 nt
Filed under: uncultured bacterium
Lineage: Bacteria
Description: partial 16S ribosomal RNA
Rfam family: Bacterial small subunit ribosomal RNA
Source: RNAcentral